GAGAAUCUUGUUUGCUGAGCGUC
RNAcentral lists this non-coding RNA (23 nucleotides) under Arabidopsis thaliana (thale cress). Lineage: Eukaryota; Viridiplantae; Streptophyta; Magnoliopsida; Brassicales; Brassicaceae. The record is from RNAcentral.